UACGAAGGGGGCUAGCGUUGCUCGGAAUGGCUGGGCGUAAAGGGCGCGUAGGCGGAUGGCACAGUCAGAUGUGAAAUUCCCGGGCUUAACCUGGGGGCUGCAUUUGAUACGUGUGAUCUAGAGUGAGGAAGAGGGUCGUGGAAUUCCCAGUGUAGAGGUGAAAUUCGUAGAUAUUGGGAAGAACACCGGUGGCGAAGGCGGCGACCUGGUCCUUGACUGACGCUGAGGCGCGAAAGCGUGGGGAGCAAACAGG
This 253-nucleotide ribosomal RNA is filed under the name uncultured bacterium. RNAcentral describes it as "partial 16S ribosomal RNA". It matches the Rfam family "Bacterial small subunit ribosomal RNA", at positions 524 to 776 of the family's 1533-position model. The record is from RNAcentral.